UACGUAGGGUGCAAGCGUUGUCCGGAAUUAUUGGGCGUAAAGAGCUCGUAGGCGGUUUGUCGCGUCUGCUGUGAAAACUCAGGGCUUAACCCUGAGCCUGCAGUGGGUACGGGCAGACUAGAGUGUGGUAGGGGAGACUGGAAUUCCUGGUGUAGCGGUGAAAUGCGCAGAUAUCAGGAGGAACACCGAUGGCGAAGGCAGGUCUCUGGGCCAUAACUGACGCUGAGAAGCGAAAGCAUGGGGAGCGAACAGG
RNAcentral lists this ribosomal RNA (253 nucleotides) under uncultured bacterium. RNAcentral describes it as "partial 16S ribosomal RNA". It matches the Rfam family "Bacterial small subunit ribosomal RNA", at positions 524 to 776 of the family's 1533-position model. The record is from RNAcentral.